This 375-nucleotide ribosomal RNA is filed under the name uncultured prokaryote. Its description in RNAcentral is "bacterial SSU rRNA". It matches the Rfam family "Bacterial small subunit ribosomal RNA", at positions 524 to 896 of the family's 1533-position model. The record is from RNAcentral.
UACGUAGGGUCCAAGCGUUAUUCGGAAUUACUGGGCGUAAAGCGUUCGUAGGCGGUUUUGUAAGUUGGAUGUGAAAUCCUGUGGCUCAACCACAUGGACUGUGUCCAAAACUACAUGACUAGAGCAUAGUAGAGGCAAGUGGAAUUUCUGGUGUAGGAGUGACAUCCGUAGAUAUCAGAAGGAACACCAAUGGCGAAGGCAGCUUGCUGGGCUAUUGCUGACGCUCAGGAACGAAAGCGUGGGGAGCGAACGGGAUUAGAUACCCCGGUAGUCCACGCCGUAAACGAUGAUCACUAACAGUAUGGAGAUUCGACCCUCUGUGUUGUACAGCUAACGCGUUAAGUGAUCCGCCUGGGGAGUACGGGCGCAAGCUUA